Juglans microcarpa x Juglans regia is the source of this 293-nucleotide long non-coding RNA. RefSeq lists it as uncharacterized. Lineage: Eukaryota; Viridiplantae; Streptophyta; Magnoliopsida; Fagales; Juglandaceae. The record is from RefSeq and is a predicted model, not a curated record. The transcript is spliced from 3 exons.
CCGGAGGUUGAACUGACGCCAGACGGCCCUCAGCGAAGUCGCCGAGGUCCGUCGGCUUUAUCUGUGCCGAAGGUGCGGUGUGUCUCGCCGGCGAAGGGUGGGUGGCGGCAGAUCUGGUUCCUUGGGGUUUUUGCGCCUCGUAUUGUUUUCUCUCUCCUCUGGACCGACGCCGGACGGCCCUCAGGGAAGUCGUCGGGGCCGGUCGGCUUUGUCUAUGACGACGGUGAGAGGUCAUUCGCCGGCAAGGGUGGCGGCGGCUUCCUUAGGGUUUUAUCUUCCUUAGUGUUUUCUCU